RNAcentral lists this long non-coding RNA (960 nucleotides) under Marmota monax (woodchuck). Lineage: Eukaryota; Metazoa; Chordata; Mammalia; Rodentia; Sciuridae. The record is from RNAcentral.
CACUUGGCUGCUUACCUCUUGGUAAAAAUAGAGCAGGCUCCUCACUCCCGCUCUUUUCUUCCCCGUCCAGGGCAAGGGACAAGGAGGACCAGGUGAGGCUGCUCCCCCUGAGGCUGUUGGAGGAAAUGUGGUGUCACAGACCCUGCUGGCCUGCCGAGCAGUUGAACUGGGUGGGGUUGUGAUUAGGGGCCCUGAAGCUGAACUUUGAGAGGAACCUCAUGUGCAUACAUAGGGAUUUGGGUGCAAGCGGCACAGACUUGGAGCUGUGGACAAACAUGAGUUUGUGGGCAUCUGGCUUGGCCAGGGUCCAAGACCCUGGAGCCAGAGCCACAGGACUGGGAACUGGCUGAGCAGACCUUUCUCUGACAGUCCCCAAGCAAGGCCACACAUUCAGCAGCUGGUGAUAAGGCAGGAUCUGCAGCCACAGGGCAUGUAUAUAUCAAGGGACUAUUAUUUGUGCAUAAAAAUCAGGUCGACCUGUGGGAUGAGGCCCUUGGGCAGACACAGGUGUGGCUUCUUUGUGGGCUCUCCAGGAUGUGGAUUUCAUGGUGGGCUUUUGUUUUGUUUUGGUACCAGGGAUUAAACCCAGGAGCACUUAACCACUGAGCCACAUCCCUAGCUCCUUUUUAUAUUUUAUUUAGAGAUAGGGUCUCACUGAGUUGCUUGGGACCUUGCUAAAGUUGCUGGUUUUGAACUUGCAAUCCUCUUGCCUCAGCCUCCCAAGCUGCCGGGAUUUCAGGCACGCACCACCACUCCUGGCUCAUGGUGUUUGAUCCAUGGAGCUAAGGCACAAAGCCCUCCUGCCCCCCAGCCUUCAGACCUAUAUGAGACAUGCCCAUUUCCCUGGCUAAGGCCUGGGGAAGCACUCUUUGACAGGGACCUCCCUAUGCACAAAUUGAGUAUGAACUGAGACGGUCACAUGGCCACUCCCCUGAUCCACCAUGGGGUGUGGCACACGGC